GACAGUGACCUUUAGACAGUCUGAUGCCUUAACUCCUUGAGUGCCCUCUGACUCUAACAAAGAAUCACUGUCUGUGUUUCAUUGUAACUACAAGCUACUUGAUUGAGAAAGCUCCUCUCAGUUGACUUUUAAAACUCAACUUUAUGCUUUAUUCACAAUUGUCAAGGAGUAGAAGCAACCUAAAUGCCCAUCAACAGACCACUGGAUGAAGAAGUUAUGGGAUGCAUAUUCAGUGGAAUACUACUAUGACUUAAAAAGACAAUAUUGUGUCCUUCAGGACAAAACACAUGCAACUGGAGGUGAUUAUGCCUAGUGAAGGAAUUACAAGGAAUGAGUUCAAAUGAGAGACCUAGUUGAGCAAGGGAAAAAGAAGAUCUUCCCUGCCUGUUGCUGUGCCCACUCCUCAAACUCCAGGAACAAGAAACCACUCAGGCUCCAGAUGCAGAGCUUUGCCGAGGCUGGACUAGAGACCCCAAGCUCCCCGGGAACCAAGUGCAAUUCCUAGGAUACCUCACCAGUCA
Long non-coding RNA from Erinaceus europaeus (western European hedgehog), 521 nucleotides. RefSeq lists it as uncharacterized. NCBI's taxonomy places the organism in Eukaryota, Metazoa, Chordata, Mammalia, Eulipotyphla, Erinaceidae. The record is from RefSeq and is a predicted model, not a curated record. The transcript is spliced from 3 exons.